RNAcentral lists this ribosomal RNA (2783 nucleotides) under mixed culture metagenome. Its description in RNAcentral is "bacterial LSU rRNA". It matches the Rfam family "Bacterial large subunit ribosomal RNA". The record is from RNAcentral.
UCAAGUGAAAUAAGGGCGUUCGGUGGAUGCCUUGGCUCUGAGAGGCGAUGAAGGACGUGGCACGCUGCGAUAAGCUUCGGGGAGGCGCGAGCACCCUUUGAUCCGAAGAUUUCCGAAUGGGGAAACCCACCUUCGAGACUGGAGAUUCGGUACCGUGGUGCAAAUCACGGUAUCUGGUUUCCAGUUUCAUCAAGAAGGUAUUCUAACCUGAAUACAUAGGGUUAGAAAGCAAACCCGGUGAAGUGAAACAUCUCAGUAACCGGAGGAAAGGACAUCAAACGAGACUCCGUUAGUAGUGGCGAGCGAACGCGGACUAGGCCAGUGCCUUGUCGACGGAAACCAGAAUGGUCCUGGAAAGGCCAGCAUUACGGGUGAUAGCCCCGUAUGGGUAAGAAUAGACAAGGACUCGAGUAGGGCGGGACACGUGAAAUCCUGUCUGAACAUGGGGGGACCACCCUCCAAGCCUAAGUACUCCUCAGAGACCGAUAGUGAACCAGUACCGUGAGGGAAAGGUGAAAAGCACCCCGACGAGGGGAGUGAAAUAGACCCUGAAACCGAGCGCCUACAAGCAGUCGGAGCCCUUCGGGGUGACGGCGUACCUUUUGUAUAAUGGGCCAACGACUUAGUGUGACGAGCGAGCUUAAGCCGAUAGGCGUAGGCGCAGCGAAAGCGAGUCUGAAUAGGGCAUCGAGUUCGUCGCAUUAGACCCGAAACGCGUUGAUCUACCUAUGGGCAGAGUGAAGGUACGGUAACACGUACUGGAGGCUCGAACUCUUGAAUGUUGAAAAAUUCUGAGAUGACCUGUUGGUAGGGGUGAAAGGCCAAUCAAAACGCGUGAUAGCUGGUUCUCCGCGAAAUCUAUUUAGGUAGAGCGUCGAAUGAUUACCGCCGGGGGUAGAGCACUGGAUGGGCUAGGGGGACUUACCGUCUUACCAAACCUAACCAAACUCCGAAUACCGGCGAGUACAGUUCGGCAGACACACUGUGGGUGCUAACGUCCAUGGUGAAAAGGGAAACAACCCUGACCGACAGCUAAGGUCCCCAAGUGGCGGCUAAGUGGGAAAGGAUGUGGGAUUGCUUAGACAACCAGGAAGUUGGCUUAGAAGCAGCCAUCUUUUAAAGAAAGCGUAACAGCUCACUGGUCAAGCGAUCCUGCGCCGAAAAUGUAACGGGGCUCAAGCCGCCCACCGAAGCUUCGGACUCCUCCGGGAGUGGUAGCGGAGCGUUCUGUAAGCCUGCGAAGGUGUACCGUGAGGUAUGCUGGAGGUAUCAGAAGCGAGAAUGUUGGCAUGAGUAGCGAUAAAGAGGGUGAGAGACCCUCUCGCCGAAAGACCAAGGGUUCCUGCGUAAAGCUAAUCUGCGCAGGGUUAGCCGGCCCCUAAGGCGAGGCCGAAAGGCGUAGUCGAUGGGAACCACGUUAAUAUUCGUGGGCCUGCGGGUAGUGACGGAUCUCGAAAGUCGUCGAAACUUAUCGGAUUGUUUCGGCGGCCUGGAGGUUCCAGGAAAUAGCUCCCGCGUAUAGACCGUACCCGAAACCGACACAGGUGGUCAGGUAGAGUAUACCUAGGCGCUUGAGAGAACUGUGCUGAAGGAACUCGGCAAAUUGCCCUCGUAACUUCGGGAGAAGAGGGCCUGUUCAGAACGCAAGUUUUGGACAGGGGCACAAAUCAGAGGGUGGCGACUGUUUAUCAAAAACACAGGGCACUGCGAAGCCGCAAGGCGACGUAUAGUGUCUGACUCCUGCCCAGUGCCUGAAGGUUAAGAGGAGAAGUGCAAGCUUUGAAUCGAAGCCCAGGUGAACGGCGGCCGUAACUAUAACGGUCCUAAGGUAGCGAAAUUCCUUGUCGGGUAAGUUCCGACCUGCACGAAUGGAGUAACGACUUCCCUACUGUCUCCAGCACAGACUCAGCGAAAUUGAAUUCUCCGUGAAGAUGCGGAGUUCCCGUGGCUAGACGGAAAGACCCUGUGAACCUUUACUGCAGCUUUGUAGUGGCGCUAACGAACACAUGUGUAGGAUAGGUGGGAGGCUAUGAAACCUGGGCGCCAGCCUGGGUGGAGCCAUCCUUGAAAUACCACCCUUGUUUUCGUUGGCGUCUAACCGCGAACCGUUAUCCGGUUCCGGGACCCUGCAUGGCGGGCAGUUUGACUGGGGCGGUCGCCUCCUAAAGUGUAACGGAGGCGCGCGAUGGUAGGCUCAAGGCGGUCGGAAAUCGCCUGACGAGUGCAAUGGCAUAAGCCUGCCUGACUGUGAGACUGACGAGUCGAACAGAGACGAAAGUCGGUCAUAGUGAUCCGGUGGUCCUGCGUGGAAGGGCCAUCGCUCAACGGAUAAAAGGUACUCCGGGGAUAACAGGCUGAUAACCCCCAAGAGUCCAUAUCGACGGGGUUGUUUGGCACCUCGAUGUCGGCUCAUCACAUCCUGGGGCUGGAGCAGGUCCCAAGGGUUUGGCUGUUCGCCAAUUAAAGUGGUACGUGAGCUGGGUUCAGAACGUCGUGAGACAGUUUGGUCCCUAUCUACCAUGGGUGUCGAGACUUGAGAGGAUUUGUCCCUAGUACGAGAGGACCGGGAUGAACAUACCUCUGGUGGACCUGUCGUGGCGCCAGCCGCGCAGCAGGGUAGCUAUGUAUGGUCGGGAUAACCGCUGAAGGCAUCUAAGCGGGAAACCCACCUCAAAACGAGGUCUCAUUGAGAGCCGUUGUAGACCACAACGUUGAUAGGCCGGAUGUGGAAGCGCCGUGAGGUGUGAAGCUGACCGGUACUAAUCGCUCGAUCGCGUGAUAUC